AGUGCAGCUCAGAGCCCUUCCGGUUUACAGCCGCGGAAAAACAACUCGGACCAGAUCCGGGAGGGGAAUGGGGGCUGGGUGGCCAAAAUUCAGUCCAGAGGAUCGAAGCGGCUGCUUUAACAGAAGUUGGGGCUGCGUAACAACAGCUCCAAGCAAAGCUUCAGGCUGAUCGGAAAGAUGAGGAAGCAGAAAAGAGACUAAAGACAGACGGACAGGAUGGCUGGGGACAACGACAGGGACCCAGUGAAAAUACGGGCAAUACCGAGGGCUGUAACCCUAACACGGGCAAAUUUGGAGGGGCUAACAUGGGCGGAAACCAUCCGUACCAGUCACCACCACUGUCUCCAGCUGUCCCAGAACCGGACUCUUCCUGCCAUCAAAAUGGCGGCGGCGACGGCAGCGGUGGUAGCACCUACGCUGGCGGUGAGCAGGCAAAGGAAGUUGCUUCCGAGCGCGUCGAAACGAUGAUGCGCACGCGCAAAGUAGGCCUACGUGGAGCCGACCUGCCAUUGGGUAAACGCAAGGGAGGAGAAAAGAAUCAGCUGCUUCCCCAAAAAGCCAAGGGUACUUUUAAUGGAAAAUGAUAUUAGAAAUCAAGAUUUGGACAUUUGGGAUGUUGUUGCUUCUAGACACUCUCAGCUGACAGAGCAAGGAAAUAUUUGUGGAUAUGCUAACCUGACUAAAUACGCAUAUCUGCUCCAUACCUACCUAACAUCUAUCUUCUCAAGAACUCUGCCAGGGAAGGAGUAGUUUCUGUGUUUCAUAAACAGACUGAGACUCAAAGAGGCUAAGUAAACUACCUGAAGCCAUAUAUAGCAACACACAAUGACGGAUGUGAGAUUCAAACUUGGAUUUAUCUGGCUCCAAAAUUUCUAGUUUUUUUUUUUUUUUUUUUCCCACUACAGCAAAACUAAGGAGAAGAGACAGAGAAAACACUAGAUCUGAAUAACAAAGGAUGCAUACUUAAGCAAACUAAGGCAUAUAUAGUUAUCACUAAAUGCUCAACCUGGAAAGAAUACUGGAUUGCAGUCUGCUUUUUCUGUAAAGACAAUAGUAUUAUAAAACCGAAAGAGACAACAGGGAAUAUUUCCCACUCAACUAAGCAUAUCUAAAAGCACAUUUGAAGUUUGGAGACAAUAUUCUGUGUUAUUUUAAGAAAAGAUUCUAUAGCAUUAUUACCUGGUGGUAAGAAAAUAACAUGUAAAAGAAAAGGUAAUAAGAAUAAAAAAAAUAAGUAAAAGUAUGUGAACAUGCUAGACCUG
Molecule: long non-coding RNA, 1262 nt
Filed under: Homo sapiens (human)
Lineage: Eukaryota; Metazoa; Chordata; Mammalia; Primates; Hominidae
Description: non-protein coding lnc-LYPD6-2:10
Source: RNAcentral